Molecule: transfer RNA, 85 nt
Filed under: Hydrotalea sandarakina
Lineage: Bacteria; Pseudomonadati; Bacteroidota; Chitinophagia; Chitinophagales; Chitinophagaceae
Description: tRNA-Leu
Rfam family: tRNA
About the family: Transfer RNA (tRNA) molecules are approximately 80 nucleotides in length.
Source: RNAcentral
GCGGAUGUGGCGAAAUUGGCAGACGCACUAGACUUAGGAUCUAGCGCCGCAAGGCAUGUGGGUUCGACCCCCUCCAUCCGCACAA